CUAAGGAACUAAUUAAUAAAUGAAUGCAUGACUAAACUACCAUGCACUUUGAAAUUUUAUUCUUCAGUCCUGGGACCAAAGUGACACAGCAUGAGUGAAAGUGGAUAAUCGAUGAGGGACAUUAACAGGGUUUUUUCUUAUUUUGUAGAGAAAACCUCCAAGCAAAGGAAAGUCUUUAAGCACUUCUAAUUGCAAAAGGAUUAAAAACUUAUAAAUUAAACUCAAAAAUAAAUGUGGAAAUAUGGAAUGCUGGAAACAAAAUGUCAGUUCCUUCCUACUUGCUUGUCAUCUUGUUUAAUUCUUUCAUCAUCAUGUAUUUAAGACAUCUUAAACUUUACAUCUAUGCAACCAUAUGUAGGAAGGAGAAAGUACCCACUUCUGAAAUUGGGAAAUUUAAAAAUAGUCCUAGAACCCCAGGUAAACCACAAAGCUCUAAAUCUCAUAGUUUUUCUCAAUGACCAAUUUAAGUACUGUUAAAAGAUUUCUUCCUGCCAUCAUUCACAUUCAUUGUGGGGCCAUGAGUUCCUUCUCUGGAAUGUAAAUUUCUGAUUUCUUUACAACCACACAUGCAUAGAGCACAUUGCUGCUGAAGUGCUGUCUGACAAUUUAAACCUGGGAAAUUGCUGUAAAGGGAAUUGUAUGGAAAACAGGAAACCUGGUCCAUGCCAAAUAGAUGAGGAAAAGAAAAGUAAAUGAUAUGUAUAAAAAAUACAAUGAAAAUAGAGUUGCUGUUCAGAAACAAUCUGGGACUCUGAUAAUUGGUGAAGAUAGGAGAACAAAACUGAAAAAUGGAAGUAUCUCCACAUGGCUUGGGAGUCUCCAUUUUCACAGGGUGAGCAAGAAGGUUCAUUAGGUGAAAGACAUCAGAUAAUGCCAGGGAACUUCUUUCUCAUACUAUAUUUCCUACUGCUUCCCUAAAGGAGAAACUUCAAAACAAUAAUAGCUUCUCUCUCUCUCUCACACACACACACACAUACACCACUGAGGUGUUCCUUCUUUGCUGGUAAGUGUUGAUGCAAGUGUUAGGCUUGAUGCAUACUCAUGUAUAAACUGGUAAAUAUUCAGUGGAUAAAUAAAUCAACAAAGGAAUGAAUGACUGUGGAAAAACUAUUCUUCAUUGCUGCUUUGGCUUUGCUGUUUAGGGAACAGGCUGAGAGGUGAUAUAAAAUGAUCUAAAUCAUCAGAAGAAAGCUUCAUGGAGAUAAAAACCAAAGAACUCCAUCGCUUUAUGAAAGUCUUAUCAAAAGAGAAAAGGAAUAAUUUACCAAUAGUUAUAAUACUAACAUUACACCCUCUCUUUUUAGUUCAUUUACUUGAACAAAUGGAAAGUUUUCCUGUCAGCCUAGGUGAAGUCAGUGGUGUCAACUUUUGCACUUUCUCAUAAACACUCUGAGAAUUAGCACCAUGAUUUCAAGGCUUGGUAUGAGACAGAGAAAUUAGUGAGAGUCAUAGGAGGAUUGUAAAGUCACAGACUCUAGUCUGCGUCAUUACAAUGUAUUCAAAAGGGGUCAUUCUUCCUGUGGAGAAUGGCAGUUCCAAUAUCGCUGUUGUGAUUGGGAUCAUUUUAGGAUUUUCUUUGAUUCAAGUGUUCUUGUUUAUUUCGCAGAAGAGCUUUCUCUGACUUUUCUUUUUCCCAUCAUAACACCAGACUAGUCACUACUUAACAAGAACCAAAUGAUGUUAAAUUUCAGAAUGACUCUGAGUCUAAAAUUUUCUUAAGCUGAAGGAAAAAGAUGGCUACCACAGCAAUCUGAUUGGUUAAUUACAGCUAGGAAGCUGUGCAAGGGGUGGUUCUGGGUUUUGGGAUCUGAACACAAAUAUGGUUCAUAUGGAGUUUUCAUUGUCAUCAAACUUAAGUGAUUCAUGUGUUAAACAUGCUAAUUACAUGAAUUUUCAUAUCUUCUCCUCCAAACAAAUUCAUUUAAAAAAUUUCAGUUCCCAAAGUUUAUUUCAGAAUUUUUAGCUCUGCUAAAAUAAAAUGUAUUCAACUGAUUUUAAACAGCUUUGAAAACAGUUUAGGAAAUCUGGAAUUCAUAGGCGUUUCUGCUAUGGUUUUUCCUAUGUUACAUAAAAAUGGUCAUUUCUCCCAUUGCAGUAGAAGAAAAGAAUGUGAUUAUUGUAGAAACUGGAAUUCUGGGUUUUUAACCAUGAUCCAACACAAACGGCUGUGGUUUGGGGGAACUUAACCUAUUCUAAACUCAACAUCCUGAGCUGGAAUUAAUUGCUCAUUAGAAGCAGAAAGAGUUCUUUUUUCACUCUAAUGUAACUAAAGCAUAGACUUUUUUUUGACAUAUUAUGGAAAAAUAAUGUGGUUCUGAACUUUCUUUUUCUGAUUUUUGGUAUUUAGGUUUGGGUUUGAGCCAGAGAUAGCCUAACUUAUUUGAUUAUAGCAUAAAAAGAAUGAUUUUAUUUUGACUUUUAGAGAGAAGUGAUGAAAUGAUACCAACAUUUGGUUUGGGUUCAGUUCUAUUGGGUUAAAAACAAAUUACGAGUGAUAAUUAAAGAUAAUUUCAGCAGAGAUUCUCUUUCUUUCAAACAUCUCUUGUAGAAAAAACAUCUCAACAGCUGUCACACUGGCCUUCCUUUCUUCUGUUCCACAGGGAGUCAGCACAGAUUGGAGUAUCAGCUUUGCUACUGAUCAUGUGACUAUGCACAAAGUCUCAGAACAUUAGUUUCCUCAUCUGUAAAAUAGAAUUAAAGACACCUACCACAUGGAGUUGUCUGGAAUAAUUAAUAUAAGGACCUCCAUCUGUGGGCUUAGGAAGACUGGAUGAGAAGACACCGUUUGGAGUAGCAUCUUCAGGGGAGACUUCAGACAGUGCUGACUGAGGAGUCACGGUCUGUGUAAGUUGUGGCAACUGGCCCUGGGCCACUGGGGGAAGACUCAGAAACAAAAGACUUCUUUUGAGGCAGCUGAGGGCCAGGCUGCUGGAGAAAUCAGUGCCGCCCCUUGGAUCAGGUCCUUACCCGCAGGAAAGCAGCUUGACUGGGAGAUACGGGGUAACGUGGGCUCUGUACAUAGAAGAGAGGAGCUGGAGGAGCUUCAGGCCCUGAUGCAGCAGCGAAAAGGUGUGGAGAAAAUGCCUCAGCAGCCAAGGUGCUCUUGCCCCUCGGUUUCACCAAGGGACUGUUUCUAAGGAUGGAUCUGUUCAACUCUCUCUCUGUUCCCUCCCAGACUUCCCCGAUGCUGCCUAAUUUUUACCUAAUUAGGGUUAAAUCAAAUACCUGCUUUAGAAACAGAAGUCUUUCAGGGAGUGGGAAGAACCUUCACGGAUCCGAUUAUUUGCCCCAACUCGACUCCCCCCAGCUCCGAGUGAUGAAAAUGAGCUACAGGAGAAUAGGUGCUUUAAUGGAGGACCAUGAAGAGAGGUGACCUUGGACUCCUGAGCAUCUGGAGGGCAUCAUGGACUUAAGUGUAGUAUGAUAAUGAGGAGUGGCCUUGUGAUGUAAUUCUGACCAGUAAGAGUACUACAUCUUUCUGGCCCUGGGAGCUCAGGAGUAGACAUGUGACCCAGGCUGAGGCAACAAGUCAUUGAGGAUUGUAUUGAACAUCAGUUCUAGGACUUUCUGGAUAUACUGCGGAUGAGACAACCUCUUUCUACAGAGCUGCUGGGUUGAGGCUGCUGAUGGCUGUCUUAUCACCAUAUAGGGGAGUCCCUUGACAAUGGUCCCGAAAGAGCGAAGCACAAAAGUUAUUCUCCUAAUAAUGAGCUCCUAAUGGCCUGUGGGAAGGAGUAGGACCAGCUUUGCCUUAAGUCAGAUAUCCUAUGGACCUUAAAGUUAUGUAAGCCAACAAAGUUUCUGUUUUUGCUUAGGCCAGUUUGAAUUAGGUUUCUGUUGCAACUUAACAGCCACUGACUAAUCCAUAAUUGUUUUUUAAUGUCCCUAGCU
Molecule: non-coding RNA, 3891 nt
Organism: Odocoileus virginianus texanus
Lineage: Eukaryota; Metazoa; Chordata; Mammalia; Artiodactyla; Cervidae
Source: RefSeq, a predicted model, not a curated record